This 132-nucleotide small nuclear RNA is filed under the name Chinchilla lanigera (long-tailed chinchilla). RNAcentral's name for it is "U4 spliceosomal RNA (ENSCLAG00000020730.1)". It matches the Rfam family "U4 spliceosomal RNA". From Rfam's summary of the family: U4 small nuclear RNA (U4 snRNA) is a component of the major U2-dependent spliceosome. Lineage: Eukaryota; Metazoa; Chordata; Mammalia; Rodentia; Chinchillidae. The record is from Rfam by way of RNAcentral.
AGCUUUGCACAGUGGCAGUAUCGUAACCAAUGAGGUUUAUCCGAGGCGCGAUUAUUGCUAAUUGUAUGUCAGUUCAUUAAGUGAUCAGUGUAUUACUGAAUGUUUUCCUAUGACAACUUUUGUUUCCCUAGG